Long non-coding RNA from Phocoena sinus (vaquita), 2626 nucleotides. The record is from Ensembl. Lineage: Eukaryota; Metazoa; Chordata; Mammalia; Artiodactyla; Phocoenidae.
AAGAGCAGAAGGACAACAUUAAAUGCUGUUUAACAUUGUUUAGCAUCUGUGUAAUUAGAUUUCCAGAAGGAAAAUAAAGAUAUAACAGAGCAAAAGAAACAUUUAAAGAAAUAAUUUGAGAGACUCUUCCAAAAUUAGUGACGGACACUAAAAAAAAGAUCUACGAGGGAAGAUGGCGGAAGAGUAAGACGUGGAGAUCACCUGCCUUCCCACAGAUACAUCAGAAAUACAUCUACACACGGAACCGCUCCUAUAGAACACCCACGGAUCUCUGGCAGAAGACCUCAGACCUCCCAAAAGGCAAGAAACUCCCCACGUACCUGCAUAGGGCAAAAGAAAAAAAAAAAAACAGAGACAAAAGGAUAGGGACGGGACCUGCACCAGUGGGAGGGAGCCGAGAAGGAGGAAAGGUUUCCACACACUAGAAGCCCCUGCGUGGGCGGAGACUGCGGGUGACGGAGGGGGGAAGCUUCGGAGCCUCGGAGGAGAGCUCAGCAACACGGAUGUGGAGGGCAAAGCAGAGAGAUUCCCGCACAGAGGAUCAGGGCCGACUGGCACUCACCAGCCCGAGAGGCUUGUCUGCUCACACACGGGGACGGGCGGGGCUGGGAACUGAGGUUCCGGCUUCAGUUGGAGCGCAGGGAGAGCACUGGGGUUAGCGGCGUGAAAACAGCCUGAAGGGGUUAGUGCGCCACAGCUGGCCGGGAGGGAGUCCGGGAAAACGUCUGGAGCUGCCGUUUCUUCCCUCUUUGUUUCCUGGUGCACGAGGAUAGGGGACAAAGAGCUCUGCUUAAAGGAACUCCAGAGACGGGCGAGAGCUGCGGCUAACAGCGCGGACCCCAGAGACUGGCAUGAGGCACUGAAGCUGCUGCUGCCGCCACCAAGAAGCCUGUGUGCAAGCACAGGUCACUCUCCACACCGCCCCUCGCGUGAGCCUGUGCAGCCCGCCACUGCCAGGGUCCCGUGAUCCAGGGAAAACUUCCCCGGGAGAAUGCACGGCGCUCUUCAGGCUGUUGCAACGUCCCGCCUGCCUCUGCCGCCGCAGGCUCGUCGCGCAUCGUGCCCCUCCCUCCCCAUGGCCUGAGUGAGCCAGAGCCCCCGAAUCAGCGGCUCCUUUAACCCCGGCCUGUCUGAGCGAAGAACAGACGCCCUCAGGCGACCUACACGCAGAGGCGGGGCCAAUUCCAAAGCUGAGCCCCAGGAGCUGUGAGAACAAAGAAGAGAAAGGGAGAUGUCUCCCAGCAGCCUCAGGAGCAGCGGAUUAAAGCUCCACAAUCAACUUGAUGUACCCUGUAUCUGUGGAAUACCUGAAUAGACAACGAAUCAUCCCAAAUUGAGGAGGUGGACUUUGGAAGUAAGAUAGAUUAUUUUUUCCCUGUUUCCUCUUUUUGUGAGUAUGUGUAUGCUUCUGUGUGAGAUUUUGUCUGUAUAGCUUUGCUUUCACCAUUUGUCCUAGGGUUCUGUACCUCCAUAUUUUUUACUUCAAAAAAUUUCUUUUCUUAAUAAUUAUCUUUUAUUUUAAUAACGUUAUUUUAUUUUAUCCUCUUUCUUUCUUUCUUUCUUCUUCCUUUCUUUCUAUUUUUUCUCCCUUUUACUCUGAGCCGUGUGUAUGAAAGGCUCUUGGUGCUCCAGCCAGGAGUCAGGGCUCUGCCUCUGAGGUAGGAGAGCCAACUUCAGGACAUUGGUCAACAAGAGACCUCCCAGCUCCACAUAAUAUUAAAUGGCAAAAAUCUCCCAGAGAUCUCCAUCUCAACACCAGCACCCAGCUUCACUAAACGACUAGGAAGCUACAGUGCUGGACACCCUAUGCCAAACAACUAGCAAGACAGGAACACAACCCCACCCAUUAUCAGAAAGGCUGCCUAAAAUCAUAAUAAGGCCACAGACACCCCAAAACACACCACCAGACGUGGACCUGCCCACUAGAAAGACAAAAUCCAGCCUCAUCCAACAGAACACAGGCACUAGUCCCCUCCACCAGGAAGCCUACACAACCCACUGAACCAACCUUAGCCACUGGGGACAGACACCAAAAACAACAGGAACUAUGAACCUGCAGCCUGCAAAAAGGAGACCUCAAACACAGUAAGAUAAGCAAAAUGAGAAGACAGAAAAACACACAGCAGAUGAAGGAGUAAGGUAAAAACCAUCCAGAACUAACAAAUGAAGAGGAAAUAGGCAGUCUAUCUGAAAAAGAAUUCAGAAUAAUGAUAGUAAAGAUGAUCCAAAAUCUUGGAAAUAGAGAAAAUGCAAGAAACAUUUAACAAGGACCUAGAAGAACUAAAGAGGAAACAAGCAACGAUGACCAGGACAAUAAAUGAAAUUAAAAAUACUCUAGGAGGGAUUAAUAGCAGAAUAACUGAGGCAGAAGAAAGGAUAAGUGAUCUGGAAGAUAAAACAGUGGAAAUAACUACUGCAGAGCACAAUAAAGAAAAAAGAGGGGCUUCCCUGGUGGCGCGGUGGUUGGGAGUCCGCCUGCUGAUGCAGGGGGCGCAGGUUCGUGCCCCAGUCUGGGAGGAUCCCACGUGCUGCGGAGCGGCUGGGCCCCUGAGCCAUGGCUGCUGGACCUGCACGUCCGGAGCCUGUGCUCCACAAUGGGAGAGGCAGUGAGGGGCCUGCGUGCCAC